This 465-nucleotide ribosomal RNA is filed under the name Vreelandella stevensii. RNAcentral describes it as "partial 16S ribosomal RNA". It matches the Rfam family "Bacterial small subunit ribosomal RNA", at positions 338 to 795 of the family's 1533-position model. The record is from RNAcentral. Lineage: Bacteria; Pseudomonadati; Pseudomonadota; Gammaproteobacteria; Oceanospirillales; Halomonadaceae.
CCUACGGGAGGCAGCAGUGGGGAAUAUUGGACAAUGGGGGGAACCCUGAUCCAGCCAUGCCGCGUGUGUGAAGAAGGCCCUCGGGUUGUAAAGCACUUUCAGUGAGGAAGAACGCCUGGUGGUUAAUACCCAUCAGGAAAGACAUCACUCACAGAAGAAGCACCGGCUAACUCCGUGCCAGCAGCCGCGGUAAUACGGAGGGUGCGAGCGUUAAUCGGAAUUACUGGGCGUAAAGCGCGCGUAGGUGGCUUGAUAAGCCGGUUGUGAAAGCCCCGGGCUCAACCUGGGAACGGCAUCCGGAACUGUCAAGCUAGAGUGCAGGAGAGGAAGGUAGAAUUCCCGGUGUAGCGGUGAAAUGCGUAGAGAUCGGGAGGAAUACCAGUGGCGAAGGCGGCCUUCUGGACUGACUCUGACACUGAGGUGCGAAAGCGUGGGUAGCAAACAGGAUUAGAUACCCUGGUAGUC